UGGGGAAUUUUGGACAAUGGGCGAAAGCCUGAUCCAGCAAUGCCGCGUGUGUGAAGAAGGCCUUCGGGUUGUAAAGCACUUUUGUCCGGAAAGAAAUCCUUGGCUCUAAUACAGUCGGGGGAUGACGGUACCGGAAGAAUAAGCACCGGCUAACUACGUGCCAGCAGCCGCGGUAAUACGUAGGGUGCAAGCGUUAAUCGGAAUUACUGGGCGUAAAGCGUGCGCAGGCGGUUUGCUAAGACCGAUGUGAAAUCCCCGGGCUCAACCUGGGGACUGCAUUGGUGACUGGCAGGCUAGAGUAUGGCAGAGGGGGGUAGAAUUCCACGUGUAGCAGUGAAAUGCGUAGAGAUGUGGAGGAAUACCGAUGGCGAAGGCAGCCCCCUGGGCCAAUACUGACGCUCAUGCACGAAAGCGUGGGGAGCAAACAGGAUUAGAUACCCUGGUAGUCCACGCCCUAAAACGAUGUCAACUAGUUGUUGGGGAUUCAUUUCCUUAGUAACGUAGCUAACGCGUGAAGUUGACCGCCUGGGGAGUACGGUCGCAAGAUUAAAACUCAAAUGAAUUGACGGGGUCAUAGCUGUUUCCU
Molecule: ribosomal RNA, 586 nt
Filed under: uncultured bacterium
Lineage: Bacteria
Description: partial 16S ribosomal RNA
Rfam family: Bacterial small subunit ribosomal RNA
Source: RNAcentral